GGAAGGGUGGCCGAGUGGUUUAAGGCAACGGUCUUGAAAACCGUCGUAGGCGCAAGUCUACCGUGGGUUCGAAUCCCACCUCUUCCGCCA
RNAcentral lists this transfer RNA (90 nucleotides) under Labrys neptuniae. Its description in RNAcentral is "tRNA-Ser". It matches the Rfam family "tRNA". From Rfam's summary of the family: Transfer RNA (tRNA) molecules are approximately 80 nucleotides in length. The record is from RNAcentral. RNAcentral also lists the same sequence under 1 other name. Lineage: Bacteria; Pseudomonadati; Pseudomonadota; Alphaproteobacteria; Hyphomicrobiales; Xanthobacteraceae.